CGGCCAUCCGCUCACAGACGACGUUGACGGAGGAAGCCACAUCCGGGUAUGUAGCGCUGCGUCCUCUCCUCCAUCUCCCGCUGCAUCCUCCACCCUGCAGAUAAACAGGAGGACAGACGGACAGACAGACGGACAGACAGACAGACAGCUGGAUCUCUUUCGGCUUCAGGUUCGUUUUCUUCUUUCUCGUGAUCGUAAUUUCAGAUCGGUCCGUUUCUCUUUAACUGACGACAGACAGACAGAGAGACAGACAGAGAGACAGACAGAGAGACAGACAGAGAGACGGGGAGAGAGACGGGGAGAGAGACAGGGAGCGAGACAGCAAAGAGACAGGGGCGAGAGACAGGCAGAGAGACAGGGCGAGAGACAGCAGAGAGACAGACAGAGAGACAGCAGAGAGACGGGGAGAGAGACAGGGAAAGAGACAGCAGAGAGACAGGGCGAGAGACAGCAGAGAGACAGGGAAAGAGACAGCAGAGAGACAGGGGAAAGGCAAUACAAACAUGAACUAAUAUUUGUUAAAUGUUUAUUUAGUUUCUAAAUAAUUAACAUGACAAUUGUCCCUCACAACUUGUUUACUAAUGACCAGACAAUAAUAUCAAUCAGAAUACUAUUACUGAUCAUAUUGUAGUAGUGUAUAUUAUUGAUCAUUUUGUUGUCAAUAAUAUAAAUAUGAUCAAUGAUAAGAUUUAUCUUCAAUAUCAAUAAUAGUGUAAAUAUUUUUAUUGAUAUAAUCACAUCACAUGUCAUUUAUCUGACGCUUUUAUCCAAAGCAACUUACAAUAAGAACAUUUAACCAUAAGGACACAAACUCAGAAGAACAAGAAACAAGAAAGUGUGAUUUCAUAAAUUAAACCGAUAUGAUAUCUGUUAUCUAUAGCAAGUUGUAUAAGUCCAAUGUCAGUGCUGCAGUCAGUUAGUGUGUUAGUGGAGGUAGAGUGUGAAGAGGUGUGUCUUUAGUCUGAAGAUGUGAAGGCUCUCUGUGGUCCUGAUGUCUUCAGAGACCUCCUUCCACCAUUUAGGAGCAGGACAGCAAAGAGUGGAGAUCUAGUCGAGUGUUUUGCUCUCAGUGAGGAGGAACAAGCAGUUUAUCACAUGCAGAGAGGAGAG
Molecule: long non-coding RNA, 1110 nt
Organism: Gasterosteus aculeatus aculeatus (three-spined stickleback)
Lineage: Eukaryota; Metazoa; Chordata; Actinopteri; Perciformes; Gasterosteidae
Source: Ensembl